RNAcentral lists this long non-coding RNA (1913 nucleotides) under Lathyrus oleraceus (garden pea). RNAcentral's name for it is "Pisum sativum (pea) long non-coding RNA (PSAT_LNC020832)". Lineage: Eukaryota; Viridiplantae; Streptophyta; Magnoliopsida; Fabales; Fabaceae. The record is from RNAcentral.
CAUAUUUCAAAUCCAUUUUUAAAAAUCCCAAAAGAAUAAUAUCCAAUCCACUUUGUAUCCAAAAUCUGCAUCCAAUUAAAUCCAUGUGGUUUGGCCAUUAACCAAUUAACACAAUACUUCCAAGGUCCAAAACAAGUACAUGUGAUGAUGAGCCAAGCCAAAAGCGACAUUCAAACUCACUAUCCUAAGCAGCUACAACGAAAAGCUGCACAACAACUGCAACUCAAACACCUUCCAAACUCCCAGCUACUCAACUCACAUGGUACUGCAGUGCAAAGGCCAAAGUCCAAACGAAAACGAGCCACCACACAAAACGGCUUCCGCAAACCAGCUGCUACAAUGCGCAACAACCACCAAAAAGCUGCUAUGGAAAAGAGCUUCAAAUAUAAGCCAUGACAACAGCAGCACACCAACGCCAAUGCAUCAAAACUCAUAAGCUGCUACUUAACACAUUAAGCCAAGCUACAACACGCUAGAAUCAAGCCAAAACGGCAACGCCGGCGUGGAAAAGAAGCAUUACCAAAAGUUCAUGAGCGGCUCAACCCAAACGCGAACGAAACGCGGAUACAAAACCUGCAAAAGGGAGCUAACAAAUCUCAGUUUUUAAAAUUAAACUUCUAACAUUAACCAGUAGCAAAAAUAAAUCUCAGAACUCCAAUUAAUAGAAUGGACACGACUCGAACUUCAUAACUACAUCUGAACUAACAAAUUGAAACGACAACGACUUAUAACUGAAUCCUAACAGAAGAGUAGAAGAGAAGAUUUUGGAAAAUCUAUAAAAUCUAACCUUCGCCGUUCAGAAGCUCUCUCUCUUUCAUUGCCACAUUCAUCUUCAACCUCUCUUCCAUCUUCUCCAAAAUCACAACAAACUCUAUAUAACCGCAGCAACCAACCGAGUUCUUCAGCCUUCAACUUUCAACACACCAUAACCAACUCCAGGCAACUUUACCUUCAGAGUUUCAUUCAGAACUCAGUUCUGCAGAAAACUCCAAACAAAAUCUUGUCAAAAACACUACCGAUACCAAGAUCCAACAUUUCCUUUCCAUCACCCAUACUUCCAACAACAUGGCAACUUAGAACCAUCUCUCAACAAUAGCAGAAUACAGAAGAAGAAAAUCGGAAAAAGAAGUGUAACAGAAGAGGAAGAUCGACGGAGAGCAGAAGAAAACGAAAACAAAAUCGGGAAGAGAACUCACGAUUUGGAAGAGGCUCCGUCUUCAUCAAGAUUCGCCGUAGAGAUUUGAUAAGCCAACUUCAACGGUCUUCAUUACCGUCAUCCAAACCGAAGAUACAACUUACGCAACGAACGAGUUCGUGACCAAGCAUUGUCUUCAUCUUUCACCUAACGUAGCGGCGAAGACGGCACAGAUCGAAGGAGUUCGGUUGAAGGUUCGUGAUUACUCGCGGCGGCCACACACUGGAAACUUUCGGCAUCGACGGUAGGUUUCAACCCCAACAUAAACGCAUUUUCUGCAUUUCAUUUCCUUUACUGUCCUCGUCACGAGCGUCUUCCCUUGAGUUGGAACGUUCCUCAUCUCAAUUGGACCGAUUCUUGGUAAUGUCAUGGAAGACCCGGAUUUGGGCCUUUGGCCCAAGUGUUUUUCCCCCAGCUAUACACCUCACCUCUCAUUCAUGCACCCCCCAUAGUCCAUGUUCAUGUUAACCCCCCACUAAUCGUGAUUAGCCCUUACCUAAUUUAUAAAUUUUAAUUCCAAUUUUGAUUAACCUGGAUGUUGUCUUGUAGAUAUUAUUAGAAAUAGGUUAAUUCAUAGUUUUUUAGGAAUAUUAGAAUUAAGUCUUAAUUUUUUAUAAUUAGGAACUAACAUAAUUUUAGAUUAGGUGAUUAGAUUAGAAAUUAGAUUUAAUCACUUCUUAGAUUAGGUUUAGUUUCUUAAUUUUCCAGAAUUAAUCUG